This 460-nucleotide ribosomal RNA is filed under the name uncultured bacterium. Its description in RNAcentral is "partial 16S ribosomal RNA". It matches the Rfam family "Bacterial small subunit ribosomal RNA", at positions 338 to 795 of the family's 1533-position model. The record is from RNAcentral.
CCUACGGGUGGCAGCAGUGAGGAAUAUUGGUCAAUGGGCGCAAGCCUGAACCAGCCAAGUCGCGUGAGGGAUGACGGUCCUAUGGAUUGUAAACCUCUUUUGUCGGGGAGCAAGGCCCGCCACGUGUGGCGGGAAGGAGAGUACCCGAAGAAAAAGCAUCGUCUAACUCCGUGCCAGCAGCCGCGGUAAUACGGAAGGUCCGGGCGUUAUCCGGAUUUAUUGGGUUUAAAGGGUGCGCAGGCGGUCUGUUAAGUCAGUGGUCAAAGCCCGGGGCCAAACCCCGGCCCGCCGUUGAAACUGGCAGUCUCGAGUGGGGGAGAGGUGUGCGGAAUGCGCGGUGUAGCGGUGAAAUGCAUAGAUAUCGCGAAGAACUCCGAUUGCGAAGGCAGCAUGCCGGCUCCACACUGACGCUGAGGCACGAAAGCGUGGGUAUCGAACAGGAUUAGAUACCCGGGUAGUC